CUCCGCUGAGCCCCUCCGCGCUGCCAGCGCCUUCCUCCCCCCGCGCCGGGCUCGCCGGCGAGGGGCCGCUCCGCCUCUUUCCCCUGCCCGCCGCCGGCUGCGGGCGGGAGUCGAGCGAGGGCCGGAGCUCCGCCGCCCGCGCCCCCUCUCGCCCGCCCGCCCCAACAGCACGGGCGGCUCCAGACACAAAGGGGAGUCGCUGCAGCCGCCGGCCCGGGCGCCCGUCCCGCCGCACCGCCCCCGCCGCCCGGCUCCGCCCCGCACCAUGGAGGUGGCUCCAGAUGUGUGGCUGGGCUGGGAGCUCACACCCACCGACAGUGACCACAGCAGCUCUCAGAAGUGGAUGAAGACAUGGAAGGAACCCUUAUGUGAUAGGAUGGAAGUGAUGGGGGUGCCAGCCCAUUUAAGUUCAGCUCCAAGAAUCAGCUUGUGGUCAUUGGGACCAUGUUAUUCUUUCAGCAGGAUGUUCUGUAUGAGCCCCUGGAAGUGAGAGCGAUAACAUGGCUCUGAUCACUUUUUGCCUUCACAGCAAACCUUUCAUCAGAGGAACCUCAAAGCAACUUGCCAGCAAGAAUGGGCACAACCUCACACUGUGCCUGUGAGAUAAGCGAAGGAUGGAAUAGAUUAACUGCUUAAAAGCACACAGCAGCUCUGUGGGAUGAAGGAAAAUAAGAAAAAAACCUUAUAUAUAUACAUACACUUUUGAAACCAUACAGGGUUUUAUGGAGAGGCAGCCUGGAAGGCUGCCAGGAUACUGAAAUUGCCACCCCUACACAACCACGAAUACCAUGGAAACCAGUGGGGCACUGGCAGGCAGGAAAGGAAAUCAGCUGAAAAAUGGCUUUCCAUGAAAUGCAGCCAGGCUGGGACACUGCUCCCCUCCUGACUGAGGGAGGCCUACGUGCCUAACCACCAGUGUUGCUGCUGGUGGGAGCUGGGCUCCAGGAGAGAGUCAGUCCCAGUAAUUUCCCAGCCUGGGGUAACGCUUUCCUGGCGGCGGCCAGUGGAUGACAGCAAAAAAUGGGAUGGCUGAAAACUGCUACAUCAUGUCAGCUGUGGUGGGGAGGUAAUGGAAACCCUGAGUGCCUAGUAAAGCUUCAACACAUGCUGGGAGGUAUAAGAAGAUCAAAGUCGGUUGACAUCUGAAUAAGGACAGGGAAGGAACAUGUAUGUGCAAGCUCCUGCCUGCCCUGUCUGGUGAGGCACGAUUAAAAAGCACAGAACACUCAUCAGUUUUCCUUCAAAAUACUAAAAAAGCACAAAGAAGGAUUCCUUUAACCUGAGCAAAAGUAAGUAAAGGAGGGAGACCUGGAAAACAAAGCCAAAAAUAACAAAUGAAACUGAAUGUAACAGGAAUAACAGAAAUAAACAAACCCAGACAAGCAGUGGAGGAGGAAUGAACAUGCUGUUAAUCUGUCAAGUACACCAUGCCCACAUCAAACUACAGAGUAAGCCCAGAGAAAUACCCAGCCUCCUAGCUGAGCAAGGGCACCUGCUUGUUACCAAACAGCACAUAUCCCUUAAAAAGUCAUACUCCUGGUAAGCAGGGGAGGAGGAAUUCAAGCAUAGAACAGCUGUACUCAUUCAAAAUACUGCUAAGAGGAACAGCGGCAUCUUAUGAGUAAGCUGGAUACGGCGCAAGCAGCACCAGGCUUGAACAAAAAUAGCCCAGUGGAGAUGAGAGGCAAGAAGAGACACCAGUACACUGCUCUCCUUCUAGCUCUCAUCAACUGAAGGAUGCAGAGGUGAUCUCCUACAGAGCCUAGAUUGAAUAGAGACAGGGGGAUAUUUCUUCAGAAAAGCAAAGAGAGCUGGAAAACCAGAGAAGCAGCAGAGCAGCAUUUCUGCUAUGUUAAAAUGCACAGAGCGAACAGACCUUCCAGUAAGCACAGGGGAGGGCUGGAAAGGGGAUGGGAGCAUUGCCGUGGCUGGCCCUGAUAAGGCUCUAUCUAGGAACAGGCGAGGGCUGUGCUCACAGCCCAGCUGAGAAAUGGGUCUGGAGGAGUGCGAGAACAACAGGAUAACAUCAGGCACUUCUCACACAGCUGAAGGACCGCCACUGGUCAUCAGGAGACAAGUGCAGAUGGGAGACUUUAAAGUGGUGCCAGAAAAAACAAGCUACAGCCAGGGUCGAGGAACAUGGGAUCCAACUCCUAGUUGUCAGCAAUUGUGGUGUAUACAUUGCUGAAAACAGAUGCAGUGCCAGGAAAAUCCAACUCCCAGCAUGAAAAGAAUAACUUAGGAAUGAUAAUGAGAGAAGCCAAAGCAACUGCGACUGUGAAUUAGUGAUUACAUAAAAGUUUUUAUCUUAAAGUUAUGUUAGGCCAAACCCUGAAGUAAUUUUUUUCAUCCAAGAAUGCUCCCUCGAGACCCUGUGAUUUGGCCACAAAUUGCUACAUUAAAAAAAAAAAAAUACCCCCACAAAAAAAAAAAAAAAAAAAAAGCACAACAAAACAAAGAUUUCCUUUUUAUGCUGGCUGGAAAUACAUACAUAGCAGACAAUAGCUUUGACUGGCAUCAAACACUUCUCCAGCAGGUAGCUGAAGUUCUCUGUUUUAUGCCACCAUCAGCAUCACCGUGAGGGACAGACCAGUCUUCAGGAUUUGCUCCCUUAUGUGGCUGCUAGCCAGGGAAGUUGGAACUGUGGUUGUUUAGUAUGAAGACAAGUACGAGUUAUUCAAGCUCCCUGAAACAAGUGAGGUACAAUCCACAUCACAGUUCCUCCCACUUGGACCUAUCCUAAAAAGCUAACUAAGGACUAAAGCUACUCCUGGAAAACUGAACAUACAGUAGCCUGGGUACUGCCAUAAGGAAACGUAGCAAUCAUCACUGCCCACCAUGUGCUGAACAGCAAUAAAAAUGAUUUUUAAAAAUAGCUGAGUUGGGAAAAAAAAUACCGAUGUCUCAGUGGCAGGCUCAAAAGAGCAGCAAAAGGAUUCUCUCUAUCCCAUUCCCUGGGCAAUACUGAGCUCAGCAGCAGCUCUGGGCUUCACACCUGGAGGGUUCUGUGUAGUUUCAAACUACAAACUACUGGGUCUGCAAAUCCCAGAGCCCAGUAGGUCCCAAAGAGAUGCAGCCACAAUGAGACAUCUCUCACCUCCCAGAACCUCUCCCCAUUCCAGUUGGAGAUCAUCACACACAUGAAACUUCCCUGCUCAAUCUUUGGACUUGGCUUACCAGGAGUAAUAUGCUGCCAAUCUGCAAUUGCUAAAGAGGUAUCAAAAAUAACAUGAGAAAGUGAGUAUUUGGAGCAGGAGACACACCCUUCCCAUGACAGAUGACCUGCUAUAAAAGCCCUUACAAAAGCAAGGGAAUGUGCUGUUGUAAAAUCUGAAGCUUAAAUGCUGUGCAGCCAAAAAUCUUGGAAAUAGUUCUUUCAAAUUAUACAAACACUUUGGAGAUUCUGAGAGAAUAAAUAGCUGGAAAUAGGUUUAGAUAAAAGAACCUUUCAUGCCAGCUGGCAAAAGGCAAACAGAUGGAUCAGAUAGAUGGAUAGAUGGGGCUUAAAGCCACUUUUGUCUCAGCAGUAGCUGGGCUUGUGUAUGCAAUGUCUGAAGGCAGCAUAUCUCAUUAUCU
Taeniopygia guttata (zebra finch) is the source of this 3576-nucleotide long non-coding RNA. NCBI's taxonomy places the organism in Eukaryota, Metazoa, Chordata, Aves, Passeriformes, Estrildidae. The record is from Ensembl.